GACGAACGCUGGCGGCGUGCCUAAUACAUGCAAGUCGAGCGGACGGAUGGGAGCUUGCUUCCACACCGUUUGCCGCCGACGGGGUAGGUACCCCUUGGCUACCCUCCUUUAAGGCUGGGAUAACCCCGGGAAACCGGGGCCUAAUCCGGAUUACUCUUUUCCUCACCAUAGGGCAAGCUUAAAAGACGCAUUUCCCUAUCACUUACAGUGGGGCCCGCGGCGCAUUAGCUAGUGGGUGAGGUAACGGCUCACCAAGGCAACGAUGCGUAGCCGACCUGAGAGGGUGAUCGGCCACACUGGAACUGAGACACGGCCCAGACUCCUACGGGAGGCAGCAGUAGGGAAUCUUCCGCAAUGGACGAAAGUCUGACGGAGCAACGCCGCGUGAGUGAUGAAGGUUUUCGGAUCGUAAAACUCUGUUGUUAGGGAAGAACAAGUGUCGGAGUAACUGCCGAUAUCUUGACGGUACCUAAUCAGAAAGCCACGGCUAACUACGUG
RNAcentral lists this ribosomal RNA (498 nucleotides) under uncultured bacterium. Its description in RNAcentral is "partial 16S ribosomal RNA". It matches the Rfam family "Bacterial small subunit ribosomal RNA", at positions 28 to 507 of the family's 1533-position model. The record is from RNAcentral.